Molecule: long non-coding RNA, 1034 nt
Filed under: Homo sapiens (human)
Lineage: Eukaryota; Metazoa; Chordata; Mammalia; Primates; Hominidae
Description: novel transcript
Source: RNAcentral
ACCCACCACACCGCUAGCGCCUCUGAACCUCGCCAGGCACGUCCGGUUCUGCGGCCCCCACUCCGCCCCCGCCUGCCGGGAGCCGCGCAGUUACAAAGUGCCGGGAGCCGUGCAGGGCCAGUGAACCCCUCGCUGAGACUCAGUUUGCUGCCAUCACAAGUGCUCUGAGAAUCCUGGAGAGGGAGGAUAUUGGAGACAAACGGGACUGCUGCCCGCCUUUUAGGCGACCGUUGGAGGCUGCUCUGUGCCGGACACAGGCAGGGAAAAUGUCAGCCCCGCGAGGGAAAUGGCAAAGGGAAGAUGACAGCAGACGAGAGAAACAACAGCCCCACCUGACACAGCCAGGACCCUGCGGAGAGGCGGCAGGAGCCCCCACUUCCUCGGGACUCAGCCUCUGCACCCCGGGACUGCCCAUGGCCCCUCUGAGGGCUCUCCUCACUCCUUCCUCCCUCAUUAGGGAAGAGGCCAGUACCCAGCAGCCAUGGCCCAAGCGCAGGUGGUCUGUUCUGUGCACCCAGCAUCCCCCUAGGGUCUAAACCAGCUCCCACAGCUCAGAAGUCAGCGGAGCAGAGUCCCCAGGAAACCAGGGUCAGGGAUGGAGGCUGCUGAGGAGCGGGUCUGGGAGGUGGAGGCCAGAUACAAGAAAACCACAGUACCAGUAAAUGACAAAGGCUGGAUCUUAACCCAAGUCCUCCGACUCUGAAGGCCAUACCCAACAGGUCCCAUUUUAUUUGUUUUACUUUUUUUUAAUUGAAGAAAAAAAAACUAGCAUUCCCCUACAGUGCCCCCCACCUGGUGGGGACAUCUUGGGUUGGCAAGGCCACCACUUUCAAGAGUAGAAGUGUUUUUCAGCAGGAGGAGUUGGCUGCACCAAAGGAGCUCAGGAGAAGCUGGAGUCUCAGGCCCAGCAGGAACAGCCAGAGGUUUUGCAGCUUUGCCCAGCGGCUGGGUUCGCCGAAGGGUCUCCCUGGGGGUUCCCAGCAUGAGCCGAAGCCACCCUCCCCUGUGGGAUCUGUGAGGCCAGGCAUUGGGCC